This 22-nucleotide non-coding RNA is filed under the name Arabidopsis thaliana (thale cress). The record is from RNAcentral. Lineage: Eukaryota; Viridiplantae; Streptophyta; Magnoliopsida; Brassicales; Brassicaceae.
CAAACAUUGGAACGAUGCCCUU